Nerophis ophidion (straightnose pipefish) is the source of this 3467-nucleotide RNA transcript. It is a transcript of the gene named zinc finger protein 239-like, with no coding region annotated. The record is from RefSeq and is a predicted model, not a curated record. The transcript has 5 exons. Lineage: Eukaryota; Metazoa; Chordata; Actinopteri; Syngnathiformes; Syngnathidae.
AACACGUGUUUCACUGGGACAAUAGUGAGUGGUGCACACUUCCUUCGCCCGGCCACAGAAGACAAAAAAGAGUUGCUGGUGUAACAAUAGGAAGAAUAUAUUCCACUCCUCUCUUGUACACGCGGCUUAUGAGAUGAACGCUCGUCAAGAAGAACGUCCCCUUCAGCAACAGGAGGAUCCACAGCCCCCCCACAUUAAAGAGGAAGAGGAGGAAGUGUGGAUCAGUCAGGAGGGAGAGUGUCCUGUAGGGCAGGAGGAGGCUGAUGUCAGCAAGUUUCCACUGACUGUUGUCUCUGUGAAGACUGAAGAGCAUGAAGACAAACCACCUGAGUCCUCACAGCUUCAUCACAGUCCAAACGUCUGUGAAGAACAUCUUCUCCCUGAGCAACAGACGUGGAGCUUCAGGAUGGAGCCACAGCCCUCCCACAUUAAAAAGGAAAAGAAACACCCACUGAUCCCCCAUUUUAAAGCGGAAGAGGAUGACCCACUGACCACUCACAUCAAAGAGGAAGAGGAGGACUCAUUGACCCCCAAUUUUAAAAAGGAAGAGGAGAAGCCACUAAUAACCCAUUUUAAAGAGGAAGAGGAGGACCUACUGACCCCUUACUUUAAAGAGGAAGAGGAGGACUCAUUGACCCCCAAUUUUAAAAAGGAAGAGGAGAAGCCACUAAUAACCCAUUUUAAAGAGGAAGAGGAGGACCUACUGACCCCUCACUUUAAAGAGGAAGAGGAGGACCAAGAGCCGCCACACAUUAAAGAGGAAGAGGAGGACCAAGAGCCGCCGCACAUUAGAGAGGAAGAGGAGGACCAAGAGCCGCCGCACAUUAAAGAGGAAGAGGAGGAAGAGGGCAUCAGUCAGCCUAAAUGGUUGGAGGAGUUCCCAGUGACUGGUGUCCCUGUGAAGAGUGAAGAUGAUGAGGUGAAAGGUGAAAGUGAGGAGAGGGGAGGGGGGGAGCCUCCAAGCAGCAGCUCAACACAACACAUGACAACAGAAGCUGAUGGAGACCACUGUGGAGGAUCACAAGCAGACAAGCUCUUAGCUCCACUAUCAGAUAGUGAGGACACAACGUCACACUCUCCUGACACUGAUGAUGAAGACUCUAAAGAUGAUAAGACAUGUCACACUGACAACACUCACUUCACAUCUUCUCACUCUCACAAAACCUUUAAAUACCAUUGUCUUCUGAAAAGACACAUGAGAACACACACUGGAGAAAAACCUUUUUCUUGUUCACUCUGUAGUAAAGGUUUUAGACAAAGUAUCAAUUUGAAAGUACACAUGAGAACACACACUUGUGAAAAACAUUUUUCCUGUUCAACCUGUGGUAAAGGUUUUACACAAAGUCAGAGUUUGAAAAUACAUAUUAGAACACACACUAGAGAAAAACCUUUUUCUUGUUCACUCUGUAGUAAAGGUUUUACACAAAGUAUCAAUUUGAAGGUACACAUGAGAACACACACCAGUGAAAAACCUUUUUCCUGUUCAAUCUGUGGUAAAGGUUUUAGAGAAAGUAAACAUUUGAAAAGACACAUGAGAACACACACUGGUGAAAAACCUUUUUCAUGUUCAAACUGCGGUAAACAUUUUACUCAGAGGCCAGAUUUAAAAGUACACAUAAGAACACACACUGGAGAAAAACCUUUUUCAUGUUCUAUCUGUGGUAAAGGUUUUACAAGAAGUCAACAUUUGAAAGUACACAUGAGAACACACACUGGAGAAAAACCUUUUUCAUGUUCAAUCUGCGGUAAAGAUUUUACUCGAAGGGAAAAUUUCAAAAAGCACAUGAGAAUACACACUGGAGAAAAACCUUUUCCUGUUCAAUCUGCAGUAAAUAUUUUGCGCAACGGCACUAUUUGAAAGAACACGUGAGAACACACACUGGAGAAAAACCUUUUACAUGUUCAGUGUGUUGUAAAAGUUUUUUACAAAGUCAGCAUUUGAAAAGACACAUGAGAAGACACCCAGGAGAGAAAGUGUUGAGUUGCAGUGUGUGUGGUGAAAGAUUGUCUUCUAAGUAGCAGUGUAAGAAACACAAGUGUGCUGGUGAGAACAGCAGCAGCAAAUGAAACUGCAGGAUUUGAAAUAAACUGUCCAGACUUUCAUUUUGACCUUCUAAAAACAUCAGCACAUAGUUUCUAAGAUUUAUAGAUGAGGUAUUUUAGAUUAUUGCCUUUUUUCAGUCAAGUACUACACAUGACAAGUGUUUUUUAAAGUUGUUCAUGAUUUAUCCCCCUUUUUUAGAAUUCCUCAAACAUUAUCAAUUUCAGAAAACAUGGGAACGUUUGGAAUGUUUGGGAAAAGUUAAUUAUGUACAUCAUCCCACAGAGCUUUACUGUACAUCCAUCCAUUUGUUCUACCACUUGUCUCUUUCAUUUUAUAUGUAUAGCAUUUAAUCACAUACUUGUCCGCCAAAGGGUGUUGCGUUUUGGAGGAACUCCUUCUGUCAGAGUGCUGUUCACACUUCUUUCACUGCGGAAAUCUACUCACAAAAACAAUCCAAACAGUAGGAAACAAAAAACGAUGGUGCGAAAAAGAGAAGACUAAAUGUGCAUUUUGGAAAAAAUAACAAAAGCUACUUCUAUACACAAAUAAAGUCAACUUGGUUUGGAGUUACAAGACGUGCACACUACAAAACAACACCAAGAUGGAUGGCACUGGGAAUGGCCAAGGUAGCAAAAUACUCAAAGCAUGGAAUCAACUGGCGUGGAGUGGAAUCGCCGAGUGCCAUCCAGCUGUCAAGGUGCUGCUUAAGUAGCACCAGGGUCAAUUGGAAGCAGCUGUGCACGUCCCACAACUCCGCCCACAAAGGCAACACAGGAACUCUAGGAGGAAGGAGAAAUGUAAGAACAAGGUCAACUGCACCAAAAGACGAAAACUGACUGUUGGAGCCAAAUUUCCUUAUUUGCUUAUAUUGUUUUUAUUUUGUUUUCUCUGAUUGAUAGCUGGCUUCAGUUCAUGCUGAAUUUCCCUUUCUGCAGAUUGCUCCGCCCACUUCCUGUUGAGAACCAGGAAGUGUUGACAGGGAUGGGACUGUUGCUAUGGUGCGGUUGCCAUGGUAGCCUCCUUUAAUUGUGUUCAGCUGGGAACACUGGGGGGUGAUUGCAUGGAGGACAAACAGUUUUGGAGCGUGUGGUGUGGUGUGUGGUCAGGUCUCACUGCUGUGACAAUGUGCCAUUCAAGCCAAGUACUGGACAUUCAAUCAUCAAACUGGUCAACACAGUAUCAGUAUCAGUAUCAGUAUCAGCCCAAAGACUUGGACACAAACAGGAGAGAAAGUAAAAAGCAGCUUUAAGGAGGUCAAAACAAAAUGUAUGCAUUCUUUCCAACGGCCGCUGGGUGGCAGCAGAGGCUCCAUGUAUCACCUGAAGAAACAUUUGACUUCUGACCUUUCCACAUUAUUUCUCUCAUCUUUACUGCUGGAGUUCAGCUCACUGAGGAUGUAAGCUACAUUUUGGUAUCUUAAUUA